Molecule: ribosomal RNA, 460 nt
Filed under: uncultured bacterium
Lineage: Bacteria
Description: partial 16S ribosomal RNA
Rfam family: Bacterial small subunit ribosomal RNA
Source: RNAcentral
CCUACGGGUGGCAGCAGUGAGGAAUAUUGGUCAAUGGACGAGAGUCUGAACCAGCCAAGUCGCGUGAAGGAUGAAUGCCCUAUGGAUUGUAAACUUCUUUUGUAUGGGAAUAAAAUGUGCCACGCGUGGGCUUUUGUAUGUACCUUAUGAAUAAGGAUCGGCUAACUCCGUGCCAGCAGCCGCGGUAAUACGGAGGAUGCGAGCGUUAUCCGGAUUUAUUGGGUUUAAAGGGUGCGUAGGUGGAUUGUUAAGUCAGUUGUGAAAGUUUGCGGCUCAACCGUAACAUUGCAGUUGAAACUGGCAGUCUUGAGUACAGUAGAGGUAGGCGGAAUUCGUGGUGUAGCGGUGAAAUGCUUAGAUAUCACGAAGAACUCCGGUUGCGAAGGCAGCACACUGGACUGCAACUGACACUGAGGCUCGAAAGUGUGGGUAUCAAACAGGAUUAGAUACCCCUGUAGUC